CCGUGGGCAGGCUGAAGCGGGGGUAAGACCCCGUGGAGGGCCGAACGCACGUCGGUUGAAAACGGCGGCGAUGACCUGCGGGUAGGGGUGAAAGGCCUAUCAAACCCGGAGAUAUCUCGUUCUCCCCGAAAUAGCUUUAGGGCUAGCGUCGCGCGUUAACCCCGGGAGGUAGAGCACCGGAUCGAUGAGGGGGCUUCGCCGCCUACCGAUUCGAACCGAACUCCGAAUGCCCGAGGGUCUAGAGCGCGGCAGUCAGAACAUGUGGGCUAAGCUGUGUGUUCGAGAGGGAAACAGCCCAGACCGCCCGCUAAGGUCCCAAAUUCAGAGCCGAGUGGCAAAGGAUGUGCGUCCGCGCAGACAACCAGGAGGUUGGCUUAGAAGCAGCCACCCCUUCAAAGAGUGCGUAACAGCUCACUGGUCGAGUGGACAUGCGCCGACAAUACACGGGGCUAAGCUCUGAACCGAAGCGGCGGGAUGAUUCAAAUCAUCGGUAGGGGAGCGUCCCAGCGGGGGCGAAGCGGGAGGGGAACCGACCGUGGACCUUCUGGGAGCGAGAAUGCUGGCAUGAGUAGCGAGAGACGAGAGGGUAACUCGUCCGCCGUAAACCCGAGGUUUCCUGGGCAAGGCUAAUCCUCCCAGGGUCAGUCGGGGGCUAAGGCGAGGCCGGAAGGCGUAGUCGAAGCGCAGCAGGCAGACAUUCCUGCACCGCGAUGGAACCGUCACGACCGACGGGGCGACGGAUUGGGGUGGCUCGGCGGGGUUCUGGACGUCCCCGUGAUGGAGCGCGGCCCGGAGACCAGGCAAAUCCGGUCUCCACGAGGGCGAGGCUCCGGACGAAGCGAUCGAGCGAAGCGAGUGAGCCCGAGGUCCCUAGAAAAACCCCUAGGCAGGCGCCAUCGCGCCCGUACCGCAAACCGACACAGGUGGGUGGGUAGAACAUACCGAGGCGAUCGGGUCAACCAUGGUUAAGGAACUCGGCACAAUGGCCCCGUAACUUCGGGAGAAGGGGUGCCCCCGCGUACGUGAACCGGCUCGCCCGGGGAGCGGAGGGGGGCCGCAGUGAAGAGGCCCAAGCGACUGUUUACCAAAAACACAGGACUCUGCAUAAGCCGCGAGGCGACGUAUAGGGUCUGACGCCUGCCCGGUGCCGGAAGGUCACGCGGAGGUGUUAGCGCGAGCGAAGCACCGAAGCCAAGCCCCGGUAAACGGCGGCCGUAACUAUAACGGUCCUAAGGUAGCGAAAUUCCUUGUCGGGUAAGUUCCGACCUGCACGAAAGGCGCAACGACUUGGGCGCUGUCUCAACCAUGGACCCGGUGAAAUUCCACUAGUCGUGAAGAUGCGACUUACCCGCGGAAGGACGGAAAGACCCCGUGAACCUUCACUGCAGCUUGGCAUUGGCCGCUGGUCCGGCGCGUAGAGGAUAGGCGGGAGGCAUCGAUGCGGGGGCGCCAGCCCCCGCGGAGCCGCCCUUGGAAUACCGCCCUCGCCGCACCGGCGUCCUAACCCCGUCCCGUGGAGCCGGGCGGGGGACCGUGCCAGGUGGGCAGUUUGACUGGGGCGGUCGCCUCCUAAAAGGUAACGGAGGCGCGCGAAGGUCCGCUCGGGACGGUCGGCAACCGUCCUUUUGAGUGCAAGAGCGUAAGCGGGCUUGACUGCGAGGCCCACAAGCCGAGCAGGUGCGAAAGCAGGCUCUAGUGAUCCGGCGGCCCCACGUGGGAGGGCCGUCGCUCAACGGAUAAAAGGUACUCCGGGGAUAACAGGCUGAUCUUGCCCAAGAGUCCACAUCGACGGCAAGGUUUGGCACCUCGAUGUCGGCUCAUCGCAUCCUGGGGCUGGAGCAGGUCCCAAGGGUACGGCUGUUCGCCGUUUAAAGCGGUACGCGAGCUGGGUUCAGAACGUCGUGAGACAGUUCGGUCCCUAUCCUCCGCGGGCGCAGGAGAAUCGAGGGAGGCUGCCCCUAGUACGAGAGGACCGGGGUGGACGGACCUCCGGUGAACCGGUUGUCGACCAACGGCAUGGCCGGGUAGCCGCGUCCGGCGCGGAUAACCGCUGAAGGCAUCUAAGCGGGAAGCCGUUCCCGAGAUCAGUUCUCCUUCUGGUAAGGGCCCAGGUAGAACACCUGGUCGAUAGGCCGCAGGUGCAAGGUCGGCGACGGCCUCAGCCGAGCGGCACUAAUCGCCCGAGCUCUUACCCG
Molecule: ribosomal RNA, 2195 nt
Filed under: human gut metagenome
Description: bacterial LSU rRNA
Rfam family: Bacterial large subunit ribosomal RNA
Source: RNAcentral